AUUGGCACCAGGAUAUUCCUUCCUUAACUGCUGAAGCUGCUAAGGAGCACCCUGGUGUGUCUUAUAUCAUAACUGCACCUCUUGGCCUGCAUGAGUUACUAGUGGAUGUUGUGAAUGAUAGGAUCAAACACUGCUUAAACCAAGUGGCGGGGGGUGCAGAAGNNNNNNGCAGCAUGUGCUGGAACAGGCAAAUGCAAGCUCUCUUAGUCUGUGCAAUUGCAAAUUGAAG
RNAcentral lists this unclassified non-coding RNA (229 nucleotides) under Hevea brasiliensis (rubber tree). The record is from RNAcentral. Lineage: Eukaryota; Viridiplantae; Streptophyta; Magnoliopsida; Malpighiales; Euphorbiaceae.